RNAcentral lists this long non-coding RNA (825 nucleotides) under Lathyrus oleraceus (garden pea). Its description in RNAcentral is "Pisum sativum (pea) long non-coding RNA (PSAT_LNC038294)". The record is from RNAcentral. Lineage: Eukaryota; Viridiplantae; Streptophyta; Magnoliopsida; Fabales; Fabaceae.
GAUACUCUCCCAUGUUUUUCUUCCCAUAACAAUGGCAUUCUUCUUCCCAGAUUCGGAAGUCGUCGUAGUUAUCUCCUUGAAAAACUUGAGAUCAGUAGGUAAUCUCCAUGGCAACUUUCCAUCCUUACCAAUGCCCAUAUCUUUGGUGGCCGCCACAACCACUUGGUAAGUUCUCUGUAGGUUAGGCAUUGAUUGAAAAACUUGAGAUCAGUAGGUAAUCUCCAUGGCAACUUUCCAUCCUUACCAAUGCCCAUAUCUUUGGUGGCCGCCACAACCACUUGGUAAGUUCUCUGUAGGUUAGGCAUUGGGUUGAUGCUCCCAUUUCCAUUUCCAUUGAACAUUACAGAGGAAUCAGCAGCCAUAGCAGAACUCAGAAACCGCGAUAAACUUAAAAAAUGCUUCUGAUGAAAACAAGAACCGCACAACCAAUUCUUUUGGAAGUGCAGUGCAAUCUGAACCCGAAAAAGUAGUUAUUAUAAAUGGCAUUCACUCACAUACAGAACAUUAUGAAAUGUAUGAACAAUAAGUUGCUUAUUCGAAUACACAGGAACAAACCCUAAAUUAAAGAAAGAAGGAGCUAACCGAUAUGAAAUUGAGGCGCGAAAUUUUGAAAUAGUGAUGAGCUAAGAGUGAGUGAGGAUAGAGCUUUGUGUUCUGAUUUGAAAUAGUUGUGGACAGAGAGAUGAAACGGAGACGACGAGCAGAGAUGGCGACACCGAGAGAAACUGCCGCCGGUACGACGGAGAUGAUAGGGUUUUGUUGAAUUUUUAUUACAGUGUUUUUUUUUAAAUGCUUAUCAGUGUUAAAAAGAGGGAUAUACAACCC